RNAcentral lists this ribosomal RNA (464 nucleotides) under uncultured bacterium. RNAcentral describes it as "partial 16S ribosomal RNA". It matches the Rfam family "Bacterial small subunit ribosomal RNA", at positions 339 to 795 of the family's 1533-position model. The record is from RNAcentral.
CUACGGGGGGCACCAGUCGAGAAUCUUUUGCAAUGGGCGAAGGCCUGACAAUGCGACGCCGCGUGAGCGAUGAAGGUCUUCGGAUUGUAAAGCUCUGUUGCAGGGGAUGAAACUAUUUGGCACGAAUAGUGUCAAGUAUUGACAGUACCUUGAGAGGAAGCCACGGCUAACUCCGUGCCAGCAGCCGCGGUAAUACGGAGGUGGCAAGCGUUGUUCGGAUUGAUUGGGUGUAAAGGGCAUGUAGGCGUCCUGAUAAGUCGAACGUGAAAUCCCGUAGCUCAACUACGGAACUGCAUUCGAACUGUCGGGAUUGAGUAUGGAAGGGGAGAAUGGAAUUCCCGGUGUAAGAGUGAAAUCUGUAGAUAUCGGGAGGAACACCAGUAGCGAAGGCGAUUCUCUGGUCCGAUACUGACGCUGAAAUGCGAAAGCUAGGGGAGCAAACAGGAUUAGAUACCCUGGUAGUC